CUACGGGAGGCACCAGUGAGGAAUAUUGCACAAUGGGGGGAACCCUGAUGCAGCAACGCCGCGUGGAGGAUGACGCAUUUCGGUGUGUAAACUCCUUUUAUAUGUCAAGAAAAUGACGGUAGCAUAUGAAUAAGCACCGGCUAACUCCGUGCCAGCAGCCGCGGUAAUACAGGAGGGUGCAAGCGUUACUCGGAAUCACUGGGCGUAAAGGAUGCGUAGGCGGGUUGGAAAGUCAGGUGUGAAAUCCUACAGCUUAACUGUAGAACUGCACUUGAAACUUCUAAUCUAGAGUAUGGGAGGGGGAGAUGGAAUUAGUGGUGUAGGGGUAAAAUCCGUAGAUAUCACUAGGAAUACCUAAAGCGAAGGCGAUCUCCUGGAACAUUACUGACGCUAAGGCGUGAAAGCGUGGGGAGCAAACAGGAUUAGAUACCCUUGUAGUC
RNAcentral lists this ribosomal RNA (440 nucleotides) under uncultured bacterium. RNAcentral describes it as "partial 16S ribosomal RNA". It matches the Rfam family "Bacterial small subunit ribosomal RNA", at positions 339 to 795 of the family's 1533-position model. The record is from RNAcentral.